GAUACCCGGGUAGUCCAUGCCGUAAACGUUGGGCGCUAGGUGUGGGGUCCAUUCCACGGAUUCCGUGCCGCAGCUAACGCAUUAAGCGCCCCGCCUGGGGAGUACGGCCGCAAGGCUAAAACUCAAAGGAAUUGACGGGGGCCCGCACAAGCGGCGAAGCAUGCGGAUUAAUUCGAUGCAACGCGAAGAACCUUACCAAGGCUUGACAUGCGCGGUGGAAUCCCAGAGAUGGGGUGUCAUUUAGUUGGUCGCGUACAGGUGGUGCAUGGUUGUCGUCAGCUCGUGUCGUGAGAUGUUGGGUUAAGUCCCGCAACGAGCGCAACCCUCGUUCCAUGUUGCCAGCACGUAAUGGUGGGGACUCAUGGGAGACUGCCGGGGUCAACUCGGAGGAAGGUGGGGAUGACGUCAAAUCAUCAUGCCCCUUAUGUCUUGGGCUUCACGCAUGCUACAAUGGCCAGUACAGAGGGCUGCGAUACCGUGAGGUGGAGCGAAUCCCAAAAAGCUGGUCUCAGUUCGGAUCGGGGUCUGCAACUCGACCCCGUGAAGUCGGAGUCGCUAGUAAUCGCAGAUCAGCAACGCUGCGGUGAAUACGUUUCCCGGGCCUUGUACACACCGCCCGUCACGUCAUG
RNAcentral lists this ribosomal RNA (629 nucleotides) under uncultured bacterium. RNAcentral describes it as "bacterial SSU rRNA". It matches the Rfam family "Bacterial small subunit ribosomal RNA", at positions 781 to 1406 of the family's 1533-position model. The record is from RNAcentral.